UCCUCGAUGGUCUAACGGUCAUGAUUUCCGCUUGUCAUCUCUUUGAGAACAAGCGCGGGAGACCUGGGUUCGACUCCCAGUCGGGGAG
This 88-nucleotide transfer RNA is filed under the name Aspergillus avenaceus. It matches the Rfam family "tRNA". Rfam says of the family: Transfer RNA (tRNA) molecules are approximately 80 nucleotides in length. Their secondary structure includes four short double-helical elements and three loops (D, anti-codon, and T loops). Lineage: Eukaryota; Fungi; Ascomycota; Eurotiomycetes; Eurotiales; Aspergillaceae. The record is from Rfam by way of RNAcentral.